This 431-nucleotide ribosomal RNA is filed under the name uncultured bacterium. RNAcentral's name for it is "partial 16S ribosomal RNA". It matches the Rfam family "Bacterial small subunit ribosomal RNA", at positions 29 to 507 of the family's 1533-position model. The record is from RNAcentral.
AACGAACGCUGGCGGCAGGCUUAACACAUGCAAGUCGAACGCCCCGCAAGGGGAGUGGCAGACGGGUGAGUAACGCGUGGGAACAUACCCUUUUCUACGGAAUAGCUCUGGGAAACUGGAAUUAAUACCGUAUACGCCCUACGGGGGAAAGAUUUAUCGGGGAAGGAUUGGCCCGCGUUGGAUUAGCUAGUUGGUGGGGUAAAGGCCUACCAAGGCGACGAUCCAUAGCUGGUCUGAGAGGAUGAUCAGCCACAUUGGGACUGAGACACGGCCCAAACUCCUACGGGAGGCAGCAGUGGGGAAUAUUGGACAAUGGGCGCAAGCCUGAUCCAGCCAUGCCGCGUGAGUGAUGAAGGCCUUAGGGUUGUAAAGCUCUAUCACCGAUGAAGAUAAUGACGGUAGUCGGAGAAGAAGCCCCGGCUAACUUCGUG